Long non-coding RNA from Mirounga angustirostris (Northern elephant seal), 799 nucleotides. RefSeq lists it as uncharacterized. The transcript has 5 exons. NCBI's taxonomy places the organism in Eukaryota, Metazoa, Chordata, Mammalia, Carnivora, Phocidae. The record is from RefSeq and is a predicted model, not a curated record.
AGAGGCCUUGGUGGGAUGUCCUGCACACCUGCAAUGAGGAAGUGAUUUCAGCUGCAAUUACAAACCACAAAGAGACUUUUUUUUUUUUUUUUGGAAGGAAACGGUCUCCGAUGUUAAUGGGAUUGUGUCUGGUACCACAUGGCAGCAGCUAGUUCAGAUGGAGUUCCAGUCGCUGCAUCUCCUGUUGGACAAUUUAGGAGGGCUGAUUAUCAUAUUUCAGGACACAACUGGACAUAACUCUAGAAGAAUCAAAGAGUAGAGCUGAAUAAGAGAGUUGAGAUCCAUAAAUCAGGACGUCAGAAUGGAGGAAAGAAGCCCAUAUAAAAGCUUUUAGGUACCUCUGACCUAAGGGUAUUCAUUCAAGAAGUUGCAGGAUUAUUCCAAGGAUGAGCAUCAUCAGUAUCAUCUGGGAACUUGGCAAAAUGCAAAAAUCUUGAGGCUUACCUGAGACCAACUGAAUUAUUUGCAUUUUAACAGGACACUAAGCUUGAUGAUUUCCUGAAUCAGAUCUAUAAGCUCCAGGGAUCUCGAGAUGAACAGAGACAAAUGAAAACUUGGAAAGCAAACUCAGGCACUUACAAAUUAUUUCAGAAAAUACGUUGAUUUCAAGAAUGAACCCUUAGGGGUGCCUGGGUGGCUCAGUUGGUUGGGCGUCUACCUUCGGCUCAGGUCAUGGGAUCAAGCUCCACAUCGGGCUCCCUGCUCAGUGGGGAAACUGCUUCUCCCUCUCCCUCUGUCUUUCCCCACUGCUUGUGCUUGCUCUCUUUCUCUCUGUCAAAUAAAUACAUAAAAUCUAAAA